CUGUAAUUUCAUAUUUCUCCACUUUUGGUCCCUCAUUUUACGUGCCAUGUAUGCAGAUUCUGCUGACGUGGUGAAAAGAGAGAUCAAAAGUGGAAAAAUAUGAAAUUACAA
Molecule: microRNA precursor, 111 nt
Filed under: Medicago truncatula (barrel medic)
Lineage: Eukaryota; Viridiplantae; Streptophyta; Magnoliopsida; Fabales; Fabaceae
Description: MIR5284 microRNA precursor family
Rfam family: MIR5284 microRNA precursor family
Source: Rfam by way of RNAcentral